GGGUUGUGAGGUUAAGCGACUAAGCGUACACGGUGGAUGCCCUGGCAGUCAGAGGCGAUGAAGGACGUGCUAAUCUGCGAUAAGCGUCGGUAAGGUGAUAUGAACCGUUAUAACCGGCGAUUUCCGAAUGGGGAAACCCAGUGUGAUUCGUCACACUAUCAUUAACUGAAUCCAUAGGUUAAUGAGGCGAACCGGGGGAACUGAAACAUCUAAGUACCCCGAGGAAAAGAAAUCAACCGAGAUUCCCCCAGUAGCGGCGAGCGAACGGGGAGCAGCCCAGAGCCUGAAUCAGUAUGUGUGUUAGUGGAAGCGUCUGGAAAGGCGCGCGAUACAGGGUGACAGCCCCGUACACAAAAAUGCACAUGCUGUGAGCUCGAUGAGUAGGGCGGGACACGUGGUAUCCUGUCUGAAUAUGGGGGGACCAUCCUCCAAGGCUAAAUACUCCUGACUGACCGAUAGUGAACCAGUACCGUGAGGGAAAGGCGAAAAGAACCCCGGCGAGGGGAGUGAAAAAGAACCUGAAACCGUGUACGUACAAGCAGUGGGAGCACAGAGCAAUCUGUGUGACUGCGUACCUUUUGUAUAAUGGGUCAGCGACUUAUAUUCUGUAGCAAGGUUAACCGAAUAGGGGAGCCGAAGGGAAACCGAGUCUUAACUGGGCGUUAAGUUGCAGGGUAUAGACCCGAAA
RNAcentral lists this ribosomal RNA (688 nucleotides) under Escherichia coli. RNAcentral describes it as "partial 23S ribosomal RNA". It matches the Rfam family "Bacterial large subunit ribosomal RNA", at positions 1 to 720 of the family's 2925-position model. Lineage: Bacteria; Pseudomonadati; Pseudomonadota; Gammaproteobacteria; Enterobacterales; Enterobacteriaceae. The record is from RNAcentral.